Molecule: long non-coding RNA, 707 nt
Filed under: Monodelphis domestica (gray short-tailed opossum)
Lineage: Eukaryota; Metazoa; Chordata; Mammalia; Didelphimorphia; Didelphidae
Description: lncRNA (ENSMODG00000051575.1)
Source: RNAcentral
GUGCCAGGCACAAAUGUGGGAAUAUAAUAAUGCUCAUUUGCAUUGAUAGAGGGAAUUUCCUCCAUGGUAGAUCCAUACACCAAUAAAACCAUAUUUUCUCCUUCAUAAUAUUUAAAAAAAGUAAAUUCAAUAAACAGUACUAAAGUAUGGAGACGUGGUUCUGAGAAGACAGAAGAUGGAAGAAGAUGUAGGUGGACCUUGAACUAUGAGGAAACUGAUGUAAGCAGGAUUAAGUGACUUACCCAGGAUCACAUGGACAGUACAUUCAGUUGGACUCCAUGCAAACCUUCCCUCAUAAUGAAAGAUGAUGUUGUGAUUAAUAUACAAAAAGCAGUCAAAGAAAAGCUGGAGGGAAACUGUUGCAUAUGCAUAACUCAGUGUCUUAGACAUAAUUUCAAUUGUGUUGAGUGUUGAAAAGUGGAAAGAUCUUGUUAACAUAUCUUUCAGAAAGCUGUAUGGAAAGAGACAAAGACACUUAAAGAGAGAGCCUGCAUUUAUCAUGGAAUUUGCUCAUGGAAACUUAGAGGCAAACACCUGUCCAUUUUCCAAUUACUUCUGCCUUAGGGGAGGUUGCAGGGAACAUCUUAUUUUUUACAUGUCUUUAGAAAAUGGAUAAUCUGAAAAAUAAUCUUUUUCCUCAACAUAGCUUGGGGUCUUCAUAGUUAUUGUAAUAUUUCAAUGAAGUAAUAAAAGGAAGGAAAUGAACA